Vigna radiata var. radiata (mung bean) is the source of this 1209-nucleotide long non-coding RNA. RefSeq lists it as uncharacterized. The record is from RefSeq and is a predicted model, not a curated record. The transcript is spliced from 3 exons. Lineage: Eukaryota; Viridiplantae; Streptophyta; Magnoliopsida; Fabales; Fabaceae.
UUUUAAGAAAAACUUUUCGGGGAGUAAUCUCUUAAUAUUAUUGUUCCCUCCCCUCCGGCGCCUUAGUUCCUUCUUCUAAUUUCUUAAAUAUGCCUUAAUUCUCUUCUUACCUCCCGGUUGCCUUCAUCAAAAUUUCCCCAAACGCCUCUCCCGCACCACAAUCUUCACCUGCUUCGUGUUCGUAGAGCGUCUCUCCCCGUUACAUUCAUCAAAUUUCCCCCAAACCCUUUUCUCGCACCACAAUCUGCCCCUGCUUCGUGUUCAUGGAGUGACUUUUCCUGCUUGGGCUGAGCGUCGAGGUCGAGGCAGCAAGGUCGAGGCGGCGAGGUCGGGGCGGUGAGGCGUCGAGGCAGCGAGGACUCUGCUGUGUGCGAUUUUAUCACUUCCGUCUCCAACCUCUCAAACUCAAAUAUGUUCAUCUUAUCUUUUCAAUCUUCAUGUUCUUUUGAUAUGCAGUAUAAGUGGCUUGGAAAAACAAGAAAUAAAGAGUAAAGUAAAAAUCAAAUAUAUAAGAAUUAUGAAUUAUAUGUCCAGUUCAAAGGAAGUCUCGGUGAGUGAGAGAAAAGCAGGGCCUGCCACAUCAAGGUUGGUGGUUUCUGAUGCUCAACAAUGUAAUGGUGAUCCAGAAAGACCUCCACAUAGCCCUUCUGUGCCUGCACAGAGAGCACCUAGACCCAAACUUGAAUCUAUGCCAAAAAAAGUGGCUAUUGAGUUUGGUUAACCUGGAACUUGUGACAUUAAGCUUCUUCUCCUUGGAAAGCAGGGUUUUUGUGUGAAGUUAAGUGUUCACAAGGAUGUUUUAAAAGAGAAGGGUAGUAUUUUUGCUGAUAAACUUUCUGAACAAUCUGGUGUGUCAUGUCUCCAAGUUGAUGACUGUAAGGAUGUUGAAACUAUUGGGCUUAUGUACUGCAAAGAAAUGAAGCAGCGGCUAAUGAAGAAGAGCGUUUCUCGGUUAGAAUACUUAAGGUAAUUUGCUUGCUCUGUCAUCACAGCCUGCUUUGCUGCUAAUACUAUUGGGUAUUUUUGGGAGUGAAGAAGUAUGUUCUAUGCUAUUAAUCUUUUGGUAUUAUAAUUUUUGGAUUAUUUUUUGGUGUUGUUUAAUGGUAUGCCUCAUUGGAGGCUUAUAGUUAUGUGACCUAUUUAAUCUCUUCUUAUUAUUGUAUUCCUCGUGAGUCAAUUCACCCUCCAAUACGAUGAAUAUUUUAACUA